The sequence is a ribosomal RNA, 576 nucleotides long. The stretch from base 191 to 346 matches the Rfam family "5.8S ribosomal RNA".
AACCACUGCGAGAGCAGAACGACCCGCGAACCCGUGACACUGCCCCGAGCGUCUCCCCGGGUGCGGGAUCCGUCCCGUUCCCCGGGGGCGCACAACGAACCCCCGGCGCGGACUGCGCCAAGGAAAUCUAACGAGAGAGCACGCUCCCGGUGCCCCGGGACGCGGCGCCUUCUUUCACUGUAUCUAUAACGACUCUCGGCAACGGAUAUCUCGGCUCUCGCAUCGAUGAAGAACGUAGCGAAAUGCGAUACUUGGUGUGAAUUGCAGAAUCCCGUGAACCAUCGAGUCUUUGAACGCAAGUUGCGCCCCAAGCCUUUAGGCCGAGGGCACGUCUGCCUGGGUGUCACGCACCGUUGCCCCACCCCGCCCCCUCCCCGGGGGACCGGCGGUGCGGGCGGAAACUGGCCUCCCGUGCGCUCCCCGCUCGCGGUUGGCCCAAAUCCGAGUCUCCGGCGAACGGAGCCGCGGCCAUCGGUGGUGGAAACGCACCUCUCGAGCUCGCGCCGCGCUCCCGUCUCUCCGAUUCGGGACUCAGGGACCCUGACGCUCCGCGCUAGCGGCGCUCGCAUCGCGACC